GAGUUUGAUCGUGGCUCAGAGUGAACGCUGGCGGUAGGCCUAACACAUGCAAGUCGAACGGUAACAGGUCUUUCGGGAUGCUGACGAGUGGCGGACGGGUGAGGAAUACAUCAGAAUCUGCUCAGUCGUGGGGGAUAACGCAUGGAAACGUGCGCUAAUACCGCAUACGACCUUCGGGUGGAAGCAGGGGAAUCUUUAGGGAUCCUUGCGCGAUUGAAUGAGCCGAUGUCGGAUUAGCUAGUUGGUAGGGUAAAAGCCUACCAAGGCGACGAUCCGUAGCUGGUCUGAGAGGAUGAUCAGCCACACUGGGACUGAGACACGGCCCAGACUCCUGCGGGAGGCAGCAGUGGGGAAUAUUGGACAAUGGGGGCAACCCUGAUCCAGCCAUACCGCGUGGGUGAAGAAGGCCUUCUGGGUUGUAAAGCCCUUUUGUUGGGGAAGAAAAACAACGGGUUAAUACCCCGUUGGUAUGACGGUACCCAAAGAAUAAGCACCGGCUAACUUCGUGCCAGCAGCCGCGGUAAUACGAAGGGUGCAAGCGUUACUCGGAAUUACUGGGCGUAAAGGGUGCGUAGGUGGUUGCGCCAGUCUGUCGUGAAAGCCCUGGGCUUAACCUGGGAAUGGCGAUGGAAACUGUGCAACUAGAGUGUGACAGAGGGUGGUGGAAUUCCUGGUGUAGCAGUGAAAUGCGUAGAGAUCAGGAGGAACAUUCGUGGCGAAGGCGGCCACCUGGGUCAACACUGACACUGAGGCACGAAAGCGUGGGGAGCAAACAGGAUUAGAUACCCUGGUAGUCCACGCCCUAAACGAUGCGAACUGGAUGUUGGGUCCAACUUGGGAUUCAGUAUCGAAGCUAACGCGUUAAGUUCGCCGCCUGGGGAGUACGGUCGCAAGACUGAAACUCAAAGGAAUUGACGGGGGCCCGCACAAGCGGUGGAGUAUGUGGUUUAAUUCGAUGCAACGCGCAGAACCUUACCUGGCCUUGACAUGCACGGGAGUCUUUAGAGAUAGAG
This 1013-nucleotide ribosomal RNA is filed under the name uncultured Lysobacterales bacterium. Its description in RNAcentral is "bacterial SSU rRNA". It matches the Rfam family "Bacterial small subunit ribosomal RNA", at positions 9 to 1011 of the family's 1533-position model. Lineage: Bacteria; Pseudomonadati; Pseudomonadota; Gammaproteobacteria; Lysobacterales. The record is from RNAcentral.